AUACGUAGGUGGCAAGCGUUGUCCGGAAUUAUUGGGCGUAAAGCGCAUGUAGGCGGUUUGGUAAGUCGGUCGUGAAAAUGCGGUGCUUAACGCCGUAUGGCGAUCGAAACUGCGGAACUUGAGUGCAGGAGAGGAAAGGGGAACUCCCAGUGUAGCGGUGCAAUGCGUAGAUAUUGGGAAGAACACCGGUGGCGAAGGCGCCUUUCUGGACUGUGUCUGACGCUCAGAUGCGAAAGCCAGGGUAGCGAACGGGAUUAGAUACCCCGGUAGUCCUGGCCGUAAACGAUGGGUACUAGGUGUGGGAGGUAUCGACUCCUUCCGUGCCGGAGUUAACGCAAUAAGUACCCCGCCUGGGGAGUACGGCCGCAAGGCUUAAACUCAAAUGAAUUGACGGGG
RNAcentral lists this ribosomal RNA (396 nucleotides) under uncultured bacterium. RNAcentral's name for it is "partial 16S ribosomal RNA". It matches the Rfam family "Bacterial small subunit ribosomal RNA", at positions 523 to 918 of the family's 1533-position model. The record is from RNAcentral.